Molecule: long non-coding RNA, 90 nt
Organism: Sebastes umbrosus (honeycomb rockfish)
Lineage: Eukaryota; Metazoa; Chordata; Actinopteri; Perciformes; Sebastidae
Exons: 3
Source: RefSeq, a predicted model, not a curated record
UGGGGGUCCAUGGUCUAAUUUGUGCCAGUUUAGGAGUACUUGAUGUGAAAAAGUUUGGGAACCACUGGCCUAUAUUACAGCUCCUGACUU